Molecule: ribosomal RNA, 827 nt
Filed under: Lactobacillus sp. MS10
Lineage: Bacteria; Bacillati; Bacillota; Bacilli; Lactobacillales; Lactobacillaceae
Description: bacterial SSU rRNA
Rfam family: Bacterial small subunit ribosomal RNA
Source: RNAcentral
GAGGUGCUUGCACCUGAUUGAUUUUGGUCGCCAACGAGUGGCGGACGGGUGAGUAACACGUAGGUAACCUGCCCAGAAGCGGGGGACAACAUUUGGAAACAGAUGCUAAUACCGCAUAACAACGUUGUUCGCAUGAACAACGCUUAAAAGAUGGCUUCUCGCUAUCACUUCUGGAUGGACCUGCGGUGCAUUAGCUUGUUGGUGGGGUAACGGCCUACCAAGGCGAUGAUGCAUAGCCGAGUUGAGAGACUGAUCGGCCACAAUGGGACUGAGACACGGCCCAUACUCCUACGGGAGGCAGCAGUAGGGAAUCUUCCACAAUGGGCGCAAGCCUGAUGGAGCAACACCGCGUGAGUGAAGAAGGGUUUCGGCUCGUAAAGCUCUGUUGUUAAAGAAGACACGUAUGAGAGUAACUGUUCAUACGUUGACGGUAUUUAACCAGAAAGUCACGGCUAACUACGUGCCAGCAGCCGCGGUAAUACGUAGGUGGCAAGCGUUAUCCGGAUUUAUUGGGCGUAAAGAGAGUGCAGGCGGUUUUCUAAGUCUGAUGUGAAAGCCUUCGGCUUAACCGGAGAAGUGCAUCGGAAACUGGAUAACUUGAGUGCAGAAGAGGGUAGUGGAACUCCAUGUGUAGCGGUGGAAUGCGUAGAUAUAUGGAAGAACACCAGUGGCGAAGGCGGCUACCAGGUCUGCAACUGACGCAGAGACUCGAAAGCAUGGGUAGCGAACAGGAUUAGAUACCCUGGUAGUCCAUGCCGUAAACGAUGAGUGCUAGGUGUUGGAGGGUUUCCGCCCUUCAGUGCCGGAGCUAACGCAUUAAGCACUCC